This 701-nucleotide small RNA is filed under the name Histoplasma ohiense. RNAcentral's name for it is "hypothetical lncRNA". Lineage: Eukaryota; Fungi; Ascomycota; Eurotiomycetes; Onygenales; Ajellomycetaceae. The record is from RNAcentral.
GCCCUCUUGCCCUUUCCCACUUUCCCUGCACUCCAUUCUCCUAUCUUGUACUGUACUUUUUGCACCGUUUCCCUCUCAAGUUUCCCCUGCAGCGGCUUCGCUGAAACGAACAUACAUACUUCUCCGGGUAACCAACCACCUACAUAUAUCUAUAAUUUUGUAUACCUAUUUAGUCAAACCGGUUUCGUCUGUCUCGUUUCACCCUCCCUCCCAACGGGUCUCGCUCCCCUCCCCGCUGCCCCCUUUUCUCCAGCUUACACAGGCCGCUGCAUAUCGCAUACACAUAACGCAUAACAGAACGCCAUCCCCGUCCUCUCCAACCCGCUGGCCCCCUUCUUCCUUGCUGCCAGUUGUCCCCUCGUUCGCUGAAACAUAGAAAGGGCGCGCGCGUGCCUCCUAAAAUACAGAACGGAAGCUAAGGACCAAGCAAAAUAAAAAGUAGCAAGGAUAAGCACAAAAGGCGCCUAGAUAUCCCUAGAAGCUUGGUAUUCUUCAACUCUCUCCCAGAAGACAAUCCCCCGAGGAUCUAGACGAUCCAGGCCGUACCCUGACCCGAAAUCGAGAGCGGCAAUGAUGUCCACAGCCAUGAUGCAUCAAACGCGCACACCUGCGGCUGCAGUAGGAGCAAUCACCCGCCAUCCUCCAGCAUGGGAGGACCGAAGUUCCCCUCGCACCAUGCCACCACCACGCAUUUCCACGUU